AUUGAACGCUGGCGGCAGGCCUAACACAUGCAAGUCGAACGGUAACAGGAAGAAGCUUGCUUCUUUGCUGACGAGUGGCGGACGGGUGAGUAAUGUCUGGGAGACUGCCUGAUGGAGGGGGAUAACUACUGGAAACGGUAGCUAAUACCGCAUAACGUCGCAAGACCAAAGAGGGGGACCUUCGGGCCUCUUGCCAUCGGAUGUGCCCAGAUGGGAUUAGCUAGUAGGUGGGGUAACGGCUCACCUAGGCGACGAUCCCUAGCUGGUCUGAGAGGAUGACCAGCCACACUGGAACUGAGACACGGUCCAGACUCCUACGGGAGGCAGCAGUGGGGAAUAUUGCACAAUGGGCGCAAGCCUGAUGCAGCCAUGCCGCGUGUAUGAAGAAGGCCUUCGGGUUGUAAAGUACUUUCAGCGGGGAGGAAGGGAGUAAAGUUAAUACCUUUACUCAUUGACGUUACCCGCAGAAGAAGCACCGGCUAACUCCGUG
This 490-nucleotide ribosomal RNA is filed under the name uncultured bacterium. Its description in RNAcentral is "partial 16S ribosomal RNA". It matches the Rfam family "Bacterial small subunit ribosomal RNA", at positions 30 to 507 of the family's 1533-position model. The record is from RNAcentral.